RNAcentral lists this long non-coding RNA (1030 nucleotides) under Chinchilla lanigera (long-tailed chinchilla). RNAcentral describes it as "lncRNA (ENSCLAG00000025734.1)". Lineage: Eukaryota; Metazoa; Chordata; Mammalia; Rodentia; Chinchillidae. The record is from RNAcentral.
UUUUUCCUCAAAAUAACACAAGUUGCUGACUGCAAAUAACACUGGUAAAGAAAAGCAAUCUAUCUGGGCUCAUUCCAUUUUCCUACUAAGAUGAACAUUAGUUCUUGGAGACACCUUUUACUUUUGCAACUGUUAGGUUUUUCCAGGUGGUUUGCCGUAGUACAUUCAUAAAUCAAAGCAUGUUUCUGACAGAUUUAAAUUGUAUUUUCAGUGUGAGUGGAAAGAGCAAUGGACUAGAAAUUACGGAGACCUGGGUUCUGGGUCUAAGUCCGCCAUGAACAGAGCACGGUACGAGGUGUCUCUUCCGCUUCGACUUCCUCAUUCAUCACGGGCAGAAUCGGAACAGGGCACCUUGGAAUGGACGCCUUUGCUUCACCCGAGCCAAAUCUCCUCUCCGCACUCCUUCCUGACCCAAACGCUCACGGAAAAUCUACAAAGGAAGCUUACAGAGCCUUCCUUGAUGGAAAUUAUAAUUCAGCGGGAUCAUCUUCUGAGAAGAGAACACGGGUACUGCUUUAUGCAUCCUCAGGUUGCACACUUACUCUUUCUAUUAUUCUGGGAUUCUGUGUCUAUACUCAUUUAAGCCUUGCCUGUCACAAGUAAAUGUUUUCUUCCUGAUGGCUAAAAUAAUGUUUUCCACGUCUGGUCACCGCAACCCACUUCCGGGGCCGUUUUCCUGGUCAGUCACCGAGUAGUGGUUAUUGUCCUGUGACUUCCAGGCGUACUACCACGGCCCCCUCUUCCCGGGGCUCGCGGCAGCUCUGUGGAAGAGGACCCUGCUCUCCCUGGCCACCAUGGAUUAGCACAAGGACACGCAGCUGGGAUGAGUAGAAACUGUUCCCUGGGAUCCCAAGGAGAUUGUGUCUCUCAGAAACUGAACUUGAAUAUUUGAGCCGGGGAGUGAUGGGAAACCAUUUUAUAUGAACCAGGUGGAAGAAGCGGGGAGGAGCCUGUCAAGGAGAGACAGAGAAACGCUUCCCGCCUCCUGCACGCCGCUCUGGUUUUCUCUUGCUGUCCAUGUGCUGUGUGG